Boleophthalmus pectinirostris (great blue-spotted mudskipper) is the source of this 4145-nucleotide long non-coding RNA. RefSeq lists it as uncharacterized. The record is from RefSeq and is a predicted model, not a curated record. NCBI's taxonomy places the organism in Eukaryota, Metazoa, Chordata, Actinopteri, Gobiiformes, Gobiidae. The transcript has 3 exons.
AACAUAAUUCGGCAACUUUUAUCAUGUGAAAACUUUUUUACAACCCACUGUAAAACUGCGCAAGACAUGCACUUAUUUAUAUUUAGAUAAUUUAUCAUAUUAAAAGGAUUAGAACAAAUGCCAUUGAGGAAUUGUCAUAAAAAGCCUCAUCAAGAAAUAUGUCUCCUUGUGCCAUCUGGUGGUGGAAGACAAUAAAAGUUGUCCUAAAGAAGACCGUCCUCUGAAGGCUGAUGGACCAAAAUCUAAACAAAAAGUGGUGGCUUUGGGCUUCUGCUUCGGACCACAGACCUACCUUCAGUCCAGUUGGAACAUUCUGGACAGUCUGCUGAUGUUAGUGUCUCUGGUGGACAUUUUGGUGACUCUGGCCUACCCUGGAGGUUAGGGCAUUCUCAGGGUACUGCAUCUGCUCCGAGCACUGUGACCUCUCAGGUAUGGCUCGGUACAGUUCUGGGUUGAAGAAAUUAUGUGAUGUAAUAAAAGGAACCAAUUUUUCACUUCUCCUGAUAUCUGCACAUCCAUCUCCUGAGUUCCUUCGGUCUCUUCAGACUCGGAUUUCUGAAAAUCUUUCAAUGCUGUUGGUUGGACAUCAUCUUGCUGUCAAGUCAGUUGUUAUGUUUUGAUCCAGUGAGGUUAAUUUGGUCUUCUAAUAAUUUAUUCUACCAUGUUCUUUAUUUCAGACUAAAAUUCAGUUUGUUUACAAAUCAACUACUGCUAUUAAAUUUAGUUUAGUAGCUGUAGUUUGGUAAGUUAAAGUCUGAAAGUCAAAAAGUCUGAAAAAAAUAAUCAGUUACAAUAACUGAACAAUGUUUAGCUUUUUUUUAGCUAACAAACUAUACAUUUUUGGAAAGCUCUGGCACAUUCCUACGUCAUGGCCCUGGUCACUUCGGGCGAGUUACACUGCAUCAUGUCACUUCCCGCCCACUAUAAGCAUUGCUUUGCGACACUAAUAGGCCCUUCGCCAGCUGCUAGUGCUCAGGCCUAAUACUACUACUACUACUACUACUUCUACUACUACUACUAAUAAUAAUAAUAAAUAACACUUGUAUAGCACUUUUCACAAUACUCAAACAUGCUUUACAUGAGGAGUAACCAAACUGUGUAAUAAAACAUAUUACCGUACCAAAACAUGGAGACUGCAAAUAAAUUAGGUAAAUAAAUGUGUUAUUUAUAAAUUAAGUCUUUUUUUUUUUUUAAACUUGAUCAUCUGAGUAACCCUUGACCUAAACAACAUCAGUGCACCCAUGUCCUCUUCCAUUAUCUCAUCCAUUCCAGAACACGGUGGCCCCUUCCAUAUUCUAUAGUUCUGUUCUGUUCUGCUCCGAGCUGAAUGGAUAUUUUAGCAUGCCCCGCCACAUUCUAGAAUUCAGUGAAUGAAGGGCAACGGCCUCUGUGGGUGCCCUUCAUUGUUUUUUGUUUGUUUGUUUGUGUUUUAUCUUAAAGUUGCAUUGUGUAACUUUUCUGGUGGAGGGUCCAUCAAAUGUUUUUUUCCAUGGAGAUGUUAUUGCUUUGUCUAGAAUAUUUCACAGUAUGAUAUUAACCCUUUUUAUCUGAGCCACAAAACCACCUGUGGAACAUUCCAGGCAGAGCAAUGACAUAUUUAUAGAAACAAUCAGGCACAAAACCCCAACCAAAAAGUUACACUGUGCACCUUUAAAAGAAAAAUACAUACCUGUUGGAUUUAUCGUUAUCAUGUUCACACACCCAGUGUUUCUAUAAUAUUGUGUCUUCAAGUGGAAGACAUCAUUAUAUUCUACAAUCUGGAAAAAUUCAGUGUUUAGAAUGUUGUUGUGUUUGUCUUUUGUGAAAUAUCGAGCAGCAACUGGCGCAGCUGCUCCAGAAAUAGACCCAAAGGUGAGACUAAUGCCAAAAAGAAAACCACUGUAUCUAAACAUAGAAAAAAGAAAAUUUAGUGUCGUAUAAUACUAGUCUACUAAUACUAAUCAUAUGUUUGUGGUUUCAACACAACAGUAAAUCUAGCAAUGUCAGAGGUGCGUAAAUUUCCAGUAGAGGGUCCAACGCCUCCUUGUAUGGAAAUGUUAUUGCUCUGUCUGGAAUGUUUCACCAUAUGGCAAACGUAUCUCUCUCCAUCUGUCUAAUAUUGUCACAUAUUGAAUUUUUUAUUUUCUGCACUGCAAAAAGCAAUAUCUAGGUGAAUUAAAAUUAAUUAAAUUAAGACUAUUUUAAUUUUUUUGACAAACACAAUCAUCUACCAAUGGAUGAUUCUUAAUUUAAGCAACGUGGGACAGAGCAUGUUGAGCUUUGGAGAUGUAGACAGACUAAUAAUUAAUAGGAUUACUCAAAUGUGUGUGAAUGAAAGGUAUGUUUUUGAUGAGUUUUUCUAUAGCAAUAUAUUGUACUUCAAUAUUUUUUUAUUAUGACUAUGAGCUAUGGAAAACCUAGGCAACUUCUAGGCAAUAACAUGAUAACGAGUCAGUACAGACUGUAUAAGGCCUUUGGUACACACCUGUUUCAGGCCGCACCACCAUUUUCACCAACACGGGGGCGCUGUCUUGAUGGAUUCAUUUGAGAGCGACGUCCCAGUGUACAGUAGGAUUCUGGUCUAAAUGCUAGAUAGAUAUGUUUAAUGUCAUACCAUGGAGACAAGCAGGUGGCGAACCCUCAACCAGAAAAGUUGCGCAGUGGACUUUUAAGAUGUGUUAUGCCAAAUGUUGAUCAAAGUUAGUGGGUGACUCUUUUACCCAGCUUUGUUACCAUAAACUGUACUCUACUGAAUUUGUAAUGAAAACAAAUGCAAUAGGCUAUUAUAAUCCAACAAUUAAACGAUAAAAAUACUGACUGGACGCUCAAAAUGUAUCAUACCUAAAUUGGCUCUCAGUCUGGUCCUCUCUCGCCUCGUCGUGUGAUCUUAUUAUUGUCAUUUUGUAUAUUUAAAUCUGUAAGCAAUUGUUUAAUUCUUUAACAUAUUAAGUUUAAAAGAUUUCACAGACUUUCUCUUUUAAUAAACCACGGUGACUUUUUACUACUUGCGCCAUCUUGUGGUAGUAGUGGCAUAAACACACAGCUUUCCUAAGUAUAUUUCAACGUCAAUGUGAUGACAAUUAAACAAGACGAAGACAAGUUCCCAACAGGAUCUUUAAUUCCAGUAACAAACCAUAUUAUUAUUUUCACAACGUCUUAUAAAACAUGUAAACUUUUCCAUUUCCUACAACUUAUUUUUUCCCCCCAUAAUGACAACAGUUAUAAGUUAAUCUACAAAAAGGGUCAGAUACACAUUACUAGUCAAAAAUUUGGAUGCAUUUUUUCAUAAAUGUUUUUCAGUAUUUCCAGGAUUAUUUACAUUGUAGAUUCCCCCUGAAGACAUUAAAAUGUGAAUGGUCACAUAUGAAAUAUAGCAAACAAAAUAUGAGCUCAAAACUUUUCCUGCAUUUGUUGGCAUUUCUUGACUCUGAGACCUCAUCAUGAAGCCACGCCACACAAACGAUGCGCCACGCACCUAACCCUACCAACCCUAACCCCCGACCCUAGCACUUCUAAACUAGCCAUUAAACCUAAUCCUAACUCCUAACCCCUACCUCCUAACCUAACCCUAGUCCUAACCCUAAUUAACCCGUAGCCCAAACCAUAACCCUAGUCCUAUCCCUAACCUUAACCCUAGGUCUUACCCUACCCCUUGUCCUAACCCUGCAAUUUUUCAAAUUUUAUUUUAUGUGUUGAAUUUUUUUUUAAUCUUCUGUAAGGGGCAUGGUCAUAAUAUAUUUUUGUUCCUAUCGCCAUGAUGCAUCUGGUUACCAAAUUUGAUUUGGCUACACCAGUGUGUUUUUUUUUUUUUUUUGUCAGGGUUGGGGUGUCCACCUACGAUUAAAAUUUGAGUGAAAUAAGCCAAAGUCUGGGAGAGUUGGAGAUUUUUCCAUGUGUAUUUAGUUCUGUUACUUAACUUUUUACUAUAUAAUUCUAUGUAUCUUCAUAUAUUUGAUGUCUUUGAUGUAUAUAAAAUGUAUAAAGUAGUAAACAUAAUGAAAAAAAACAUUGAAUAAACGGGUGUAUCCAAACUAUUGACUACUAGUGUAUGUUCUGAUGGUCCAUUAUUCACACACUUAUUAAUUUACUAAAUUAGAGUUUAGGACAGACAGUGCUGGGAAGUGAAUACAUGUACUGAAAAUACAUAUUCUGAACACUAAUUCUGA